This 253-nucleotide ribosomal RNA is filed under the name uncultured bacterium. Its description in RNAcentral is "partial 16S ribosomal RNA". It matches the Rfam family "Bacterial small subunit ribosomal RNA", at positions 524 to 776 of the family's 1533-position model. The record is from RNAcentral.
UACGAAGGGGGCUAGCGUUGUUCGGAAUUACUGGGCGUAAAGCGCACGUAGGCGGAUACUUAAGUCAGGGGUGAAAUCCCGGGGCUCAACCCCGGAACUGCCUUUGAUACUGGGUAUCUCGAGUCCGGAAGAGGUGAGUGGAAUUCCGAGUGUAGAGGUGAAAUUCGUAGAUAUUCGGAGGAACACCAGUGGCGAAGGCGGCUCACUGGGACGUGACUGACGCUGAGACGCGAAAGCGUGGGGAGCAAACAGG